UUUCUGCUCCCCGCCAGAGCCACCCGUUAUGGACCACUGGGCGCACCUGGACCUGCGCGACGUGCCAGGGCUGGGUAUAUAGCUCAGCGGUGCAUCCGGUCUGGCAAGCGUGAGGUCCUGAGUUCGAGUUCUGAUACUAAAAAGACAAGACAUCCAGGCUCCUUGUCGAUCCUGUGGUCAUCCCUCUAUAGGGUGACCUCUCUGCCUGGACGAGAUGGCAUCGCCUUUCUUUGCCGACUUUGGCCUCAUGUGGUACCUGCAGGAGCUCAAGAAGAAGGAAUUCAUGAGGUUCAAGGAGCUGUUCAAGCAGGAGACCUCACAGCUCGGCCUCAGGCAGAUCCCCUGGGCUGAGGUGAAGAGGGCGUCACGGGAAGAGCUGGCCAGCCUGCUGCUUGAGCACUAUGAGGAGCAGCAGGCCUGGGAUGUGACCUUUAGGGUCUUCCAGAGGAUGGACAGGCAGGACCUCUGCGAGAGGGCCACAAGGGAGAGCACUGGUCAUUCCAAGAUGUAUCAGGCUCAUGUGCGGGAGAAAUUCUGCAGUAUCUUGGUCAAGGAAGCCAUCCCCGCAAUCCACAAAAGCUAUGAUGAGAAUAUCAUCCAGGACGAGCUCCAAUAUGUGGAAUCCCUCUUCACCCCCAAGACACCCGGGAAGGUGGUCCACACUGUACUCCUGAGAGGAAAACAAGGAUCUGGGAAGACCCAUCUCCUGACCAAGCUCAUGCUGGCCUGGUCCAGGGGCCACCUCUAUCUGGACAGGUUCUUUUACAUCUUCUACUUUUGCUGCCAGGAACUGAAGCACCUGCCAGUGACGAGCUUGGCGGAGCUGAUCUCCAGCACCUGGCCCGAUGCCUCGGCCCCUGUGAGCCAGAUCCUGGCGCACCCUGAGAAGAUCCUGUUCCUGGUGGAUGGCUUGGAGCAGCUGGGGUGUGACCUGAGCGAGCCCGAGAGUGAGCUGUGCCAGGGCUGGGGGGAGGCACGGCCGCCGCGGCUGCUGCUGAGCAGUUUGCUGAAGAGGAAGAUGGUGCCAGAGUGCUGCCUGCUCAUCACGGUGACCAUGGAGUUUGGGCUGGAGCUGGAGGCCCGGCUGGCCGACCCCGAGGUCAGGAUGCUCAUGGGCUUCGGUAACAGAGACAUCCAGGAAUGCCUCUACCGUGUGUUUCAAGACUUGCAGCAGGCCACGGAGGCCUUCUGCAUCAUACAGCAGAAUGCACAGAUCCUGGAGCUGUGCCGGCUGCCCGUGCCCUGCUGGCUGGUCAGCACCGUCCUGAAGCUCGAGAUGGACCGAGGUGCAGACAUGGCGCAUGCCUGCUCGCGGUCCACCCCCCUGUACGCCUCCUUCCUCUUCCACCUCUUCACGCCCAGGAUGCCCGAGGGCCCCAGCUGGCAGGGCCAGGCCCAGCUGCACAGCCUGUGCUCCCUGGCUGUCCAGGGCAUGUGGGCCAACUGCAUGGUGUUUGGGGAGCAGGACCUCAGGAGGAACGGAAUCGCAGACUCCGACCUCCCUGCCUUGCUGGAGCUCAGGAUCCUGCUGCGGUGUCGAGGGCCCGAGCCCCGCUACAAGUUCCUGCACUCGUCCAUCCAGGAGUUCUGCGCUGCCCUCUUCUACUUGCUCAAGAGCCCUGGCCACCACCCGCACCCAGCCGUGGCGGGUACACAAGACCUCCUGCUGACCUUCCUGGACAAGUCCAGGACACACUGGGUGUUUCUGGGGUGUUUCCUGUUCGGUCUCUUGCAUGAAAGGGAGAGGCAGAGGCUGGACACAUUUUUUGGCUUCCAGCUGUCCAAUGAGGUAAAACAGCAGCUGUAUCAGUGCCUGAAAGUCCUGGGGCAGACCAAAGACCUACACAAGAAGGUCCACCUGUUGGCCUUGUUCUAUUGUCUGUUCGAGAUGCAGGAUGAGGCCUUCGUCAGGCAGGCCAUGGCCCUGCUGCAGGAGCUCACCUUCCCCAUCUCCAGCAGGACCGACCUUGAGGUUUCUGCCCACUGCCUAAAGCACUGCUCCAACCUGAGGCAGCUCAGCCUUUCCAUGAAGCUCGUCCUCACGAGAGGCGAGAAAGGGCAGGGCUCCGAGUCAGACUCUGACCUCCUGCACUGGUACCAGGUGUGCUCUGUGCUCACCACCAAUGGGCACCUCCAUACACUGCGGGUGAAAGACAGCACCCUCAGCGAGCCUGCCUUCGCUGUGCUGUUUAACCAGUUGAGCCAGCCCAAUUGCAUCCUGGAGAAUCUCUUGAUGACAAAUGUGAACUUCCACUGUGAGAGCUGGCGUCUCUUCGAGGUGCUCAUGCAUAACCCGAACCUGAAGCACCUGAACCUCUCCAACACCAGGCUGGGCCACGAGGACGUGAAGUGGCUGAGGGACAUGCUGAACCACCCUACCUGCCAUGUGAACAAGCUGGUGCUGGUUAACUGCAAGCUGAAGGCUGACGAGUGCAGGGUCUUUGCCUCUAUCCUAAUGGACAACAGGAAGAUCAGGUACCUGAAUCUGGCCUCCAAUCACCUGGGCAAGGGCGUGCGAGCCCUGUGCAAGGCUCUCUGCCACCCUGACUCUACCCUGAAUCUCCUGGGACUGGCCUUCUGCUCCCUGAGUAACUGGUGCUGGGAUUACCUCGCCGAAGUUCUCCUGACCAACAGAACCCUGAAGGUCCUGGACCUCAGCCUAAACAUCAUGAGGGAUGAGGGGCUGAAUGUGCUCUGUGAGGCCCUGCGAUUCCCGUCCUGCAGCCUGGAGGUGCUGUGGUGGGUCCUUUGGAUCGAUUUUGAUGCAAUGUUCCAUCACGGAGGAGGGCUGCAGAGACCUGGCCGCCGCCCUCACCACCAAUGGGAACCUGAGAAACCUGCAGCUCAGCGGCAACCUCUUGAAGGACACAGGCGUGAAGCUGCUCUGUGGGGCUCUGGCACAGCCCAGCUGCCACAUGGAGUACCUGGGGCUGGAGGACUGCGGCCUAACGGGAGCCUGCUGCGGUGACCUGGCCACCGUGCUCACCAGCAGCAGGACCUUGAUCCUACUGAACCUGAUUGACAACCGCCUGGGCCACCACGGGGUGGUGCUGCUGUGUGAGGGUCUCAGGCACCCCGACUGCAACCUGCAUUUGCUGGGACUGCGGAGAACUAUGUUCCGGCCAGAGACCCAGGCACUUCUGCUGGACGAGGAAGAGAGGAAUCCCAACCUGAUCAUCACGGAUGACUGGUGACACAGACAUGAGGACACAGCAGGAUAGGGGUCAGGCUACGAGCACCUGGAUGCUCAUGGGGACUCUGAGGGACAGUUCAUGUGGAUGCCUGCAUGAACACCUGAGAAGUCACCUGUGUGGACACCUGAGGGGCAAUCUUCAUGGACACCUGUAAGGUCCACUGUGUGGAAACCUGGGUAGACACCUAAGGGACAACCUGCAUGGACACCUGUGAGGUCACCUGUAUGGACACCUGCAUAGACAUCUGAAGGAUGACCUGCAUGGACACCUGUGUGGAUACCUGCAGAGGGUGCUGCCUGGCAUCUGUCUGUGCCUGGGGACUGAGAAUCACUGACAAUGGCUCUGCCUACCCGGGUCACAUGAGCUUCGUGGCACAGACGUGGUUUUUAAUUUGCUCUAUGGUCUCGGCUGAGCCACCGCAAGAGCUCCAUGAUGAAAUUUGUAUCCUAUCUACAAUAGCCUUUUAAAUUCCUAAUAAAGUCCUAUUUCUUA
Cavia porcellus (domestic guinea pig) is the source of this 3686-nucleotide RNA transcript. It is a transcript of the gene named NACHT, LRR and PYD domains-containing protein 4-like, with no coding region annotated. The record is from RefSeq and is a predicted model, not a curated record. NCBI's taxonomy places the organism in Eukaryota, Metazoa, Chordata, Mammalia, Rodentia, Caviidae. The transcript is spliced from 11 exons.